GAUGAACGCUAGCGGGAGGCUUAACACAUGCAAGUCGAGGGGCAUCACGGGUAGCAAUACCUGGUGGCGACCGGCAGACGGGUGAGUAACGCGUAUGUAACCUACCCUGUACAGGGGGAUAACCCGGAGAAAUUCGGACUAAUAUCCCAUAAUGAUAUCUGGGGGCAUCUUCGGAUAUUUAAAGUUCCGGCGGUACAGGAUGGGCAUGCGUAACAUUAGCUAGUUGGUAAGGUAACGGCUUACCAAGGCUUUGAUGUUUUAGGGGUCCUGAGAGGGUGGUCCCCCACACUGGUACUGAGACACGGACCAGACUCCUACGGGAGGCAGCAGUGAGGAAUAUUGGUCAAUGGGCGCAAGCCUGAACCAGCCAUCCCGCGUGCAGGAAGACGGCCCUAUGGGGUUGUAAACUGCUUUUCCAGGGAGAGAAACUUGCGUACGCGUUGCGCAAUUGACGGUACCCUGGGAAUAAGCAUCGGCUAACUCCGUG
This 487-nucleotide ribosomal RNA is filed under the name uncultured bacterium. RNAcentral's name for it is "bacterial SSU rRNA". It matches the Rfam family "Bacterial small subunit ribosomal RNA", at positions 28 to 507 of the family's 1533-position model. The record is from RNAcentral.